GUUGAAGAACGUAGCGAAAUGCGAUAAGUAAUGUGAAUUGCAGAAUUCAGUGAAUCAUCGAAUCUUUGAACGCACAUUGCGCCCGUCAGUAUUCUGGCGGGCAUGCCUGUUCGAGCGUCAUUACGCCCCUCAAGUCCCCUGUGGACUUGGUGUUGGGGAUCGGCGAGGCUGGUUUUCCAGCACAGCCGUCCCUUAAAUUAAUUGGCGGUCUCGCCGUGGCCCUCCUCUGCGCAGUAGUAAAACACUCGCAACAGGAGCCCGGCGCGGUCCACUGCCGUAAAACCCCCCAACUUUUUAUAGUUGACCUCGAAUCAGGUAGGACUACCCGCUGAACUUAAGCAUAUCAAUAAGCGGAGGA
RNAcentral lists this unclassified non-coding RNA (358 nucleotides) under soil metagenome. RNAcentral describes it as "partial contains 5.8S ribosomal RNA, internal transcribed spacer 2, and large subunit ribosomal RNA". The stretch from base 1 to 120 matches the Rfam family "5.8S ribosomal RNA", at positions 35 to 154 of the family's 154-position model. The record is from RNAcentral.